RNAcentral lists this non-coding RNA (50 nucleotides) under Archaeoglobus fulgidus. Lineage: Archaea; Methanobacteriati; Methanobacteriota; Archaeoglobi; Archaeoglobales; Archaeoglobaceae. The record is from RNAcentral.
UGGUGACUUGGCAACCAUCUUGUAAGAAAGGGAGGCUCCUGAAAAUGGAG